GACGAACGCUGGCGGCGUGCUUAACACAUGCAAGUCGAACGGAAAGGCCCUGCUUUUGUGGGGUGCUCGAGUGGCGAACGGGUGAGUAACACGUGAGUAACCUGCCCUUGAAUUUGGGAUAACUUCAGGAAACAGGGGCUAAUACCGGAUAGGAGCUCCUGCUGCAUGGGGGGGGUUGGAAAGUUUCGGCGGUUGGGGAUGGACUCGCGGCUUAUCAGCCUGUUGGUGGGGUAGUGGCUUACCAAGGCUUUGACGGGUAGCCCGCCUGGGAGGGUGACCGGCCACAAUGGGACUGAGAUACGGCCCAGACUCCUACGGGAGGCAGCAGUGGGGAAUAUUGCACAAUGGGCGGAAGCCUGAUGCAGCAACGCCCGGUGCGGGAUGACGGCCUUCGGGUUGUAAACCGCUUUCGCAGGUGACGAAGCGUGAGUGACGGUAAUGGGUAAAGAAGCCACGGCUAACUACGUG
RNAcentral lists this ribosomal RNA (468 nucleotides) under uncultured bacterium. Its description in RNAcentral is "partial 16S ribosomal RNA". It matches the Rfam family "Bacterial small subunit ribosomal RNA", at positions 28 to 507 of the family's 1533-position model. The record is from RNAcentral.